GAUGAAGAACGCAGCGAAAUGCGAUACUUGGUGUGAAUUGCAGAAUCCCGUGAACCAUCGAGUCUUUGAACGCAAGUUGCGCCCGAAGCCACUAGGCCGAGGGCACGCCUGCCUGGGCGUCACACGUCGUUGCCCCCCCCAUCUACUCCUUCGGGAUUGCGGGGGGCGGAUGAUGGCCUCCCGUGCGCCUAGCCGCGCGGUUGGCAUAAAUACCAAGUCCUCGGCGACGCACGCCACGACAAUCGGUGGUUGCGAAACCUCGGUUGCCCGUCGUGUGCGUUCGUCGCGCAUCGAGGGCUCGAAAAAAUGCUCGGCUCCGGCUCGGCUUUCAACGCGACCCCAGGUCAGGCGGGGUUACCCGCUGAAUUUAAGCAUAUCAAUAGCGGAGGA
This 390-nucleotide unclassified non-coding RNA is filed under the name soil metagenome. RNAcentral describes it as "partial contains 5.8S ribosomal RNA, internal transcribed spacer 2, and large subunit ribosomal RNA". The stretch from base 1 to 122 matches the Rfam family "5.8S ribosomal RNA", at positions 35 to 154 of the family's 154-position model. The record is from RNAcentral.